Molecule: ribosomal RNA, 432 nt
Filed under: uncultured bacterium
Lineage: Bacteria
Description: partial 16S ribosomal RNA
Rfam family: Bacterial small subunit ribosomal RNA
Source: RNAcentral
AACGAACGCUGGCGGCAUGCCUAACACAUGCAAGUCGAACGAGACCUUCGGGUCUAGUGGCGCACGGGUGCGUAACGCGUGGGAACCUGCCCUUAGGUUCGGAAUAACUCCCCGAAAGGGGUGCUAAUACCGGAUAAUGUCUUCGGACCAAAGAUUUAUCGCCUUUGGAUGGGCCCGCGUUGGAUUAGCUAGUUGGUAGGGUAAAAGCCUACCAAGGCGACGAUCCAUAGCUGGUCUGAGAGGAUGACCAGCCACACUGGGACUGAGACACGGCCCAGACUCCUACGGGGGGCGGCAGGGGGGAAUUUUGGAAAAUGGGCGAAAGCCUGAUCCAGCAAUGCCGCGUGGGUGAUGAAGGCCUUAGGGUUGUAAAGCUCUUUUACCCGGGAUGAUAAUGCCAGUACCGGGAGAAUAAGCUCCGGCUAACUCCGG